GAUUGAACGCUGGUGGCAGGCUUAACACAUGCAAGUCGAACGGUAACAGGAAUUAGCUUGCUAAUUUGCUGACGAGUGGCGGACGGGUGAGUAAUGCUUGGGAAUCUGGCUUAUGGAGGGGGAUAACUACGGGAAACUGUAGCUAAUACCGCGUAAAAUCUUCGGAUUAAAGGGUGGGACUUUCGAGCCACCUGCCAUAAGAUGAGCCCAAGUGGGAUUAGGUAGUUGGUUAGGUAAAGGCUGACCAAGCCGACGAUCUCUAGCUGGUCUGAGAGGAUGACCAGCCACACUGGAACUGAGACACGGUCCAGACUCCUACGGGAGGCAGCAGUGGGGAAUAUUGCACAAUGGGGGGAACCCUGAUGCAGCCAUGCCGCGUGAAUGAAGAAGGCCUUCGGGUUGUAAAGUUCUUUCGGUGACGAGGAAGGUUGAUAGGUUAAUAGCCUAUCAAAUUGACGUUAAUCACAGAAGAAGCACCGGCUAACUCCGUG
RNAcentral lists this ribosomal RNA (491 nucleotides) under uncultured bacterium. Its description in RNAcentral is "partial 16S ribosomal RNA". It matches the Rfam family "Bacterial small subunit ribosomal RNA", at positions 27 to 507 of the family's 1533-position model. The record is from RNAcentral.